GGUUCGAUGGCGUAGUUGGUUAUCGCAUCUGUCUAACAUUAGAGCUUGAGAGUAUCUCGUGUUACACAGAAGGUCCCCAGUUCGAACCUGGGUCGAAUCA
Molecule: non-coding RNA, 100 nt
Organism: Paramarasmius palmivorus
Lineage: Eukaryota; Fungi; Basidiomycota; Agaricomycetes; Agaricales; Marasmiaceae
Source: the annotation of a GenBank genome assembly